Molecule: unclassified non-coding RNA, 355 nt
Filed under: Hevea brasiliensis (rubber tree)
Lineage: Eukaryota; Viridiplantae; Streptophyta; Magnoliopsida; Malpighiales; Euphorbiaceae
Source: RNAcentral
UGCCUAUCGCCAUAGAAAUUACUCAAAGGUAAUUGAGUUUGUUCAGUUUAAAGAACAAUUGCAACGGUCUAAUCAGUAUUUAGUCGCGAGGGUUGAAUCACCAAUUCUACAGCUAAAGCAGAGAGCUGAUAGCAUUGAAGAAGAAGAGGGUGUUCUUGAAAGCUUGAAUUGUGGAAUUCAUUUUGUUGAGCUUUCUAAUGAGAUCACAUCCAAAACUUUGACCUUCAAUGAAGAUUUUCAGUCACGGCCUUGGUGGACACCAGUUCCAGGGAAAAAUUAUCUUUUAGGUCCAUUUGAAGGAAUCUCAUAUUGUCCUAAAGAAAACUUGACAAAAGAAAGGGAAGAAAAUGUACGG